This 22-nucleotide microRNA is filed under the name Xenopus laevis (African clawed frog). Its description in RNAcentral is "xla-miR-27a-5p". Its record names the gene xla-miR-27a-5p. Lineage: Eukaryota; Metazoa; Chordata; Amphibia; Anura; Pipidae. The record is from miRBase by way of RNAcentral.
GGGCUUAGCUGUAUUGUGAGCA